Amphiprion ocellaris (clown anemonefish) is the source of this 1086-nucleotide long non-coding RNA. RefSeq lists it as uncharacterized. The transcript has 2 exons. The record is from RefSeq and is a predicted model, not a curated record. NCBI's taxonomy places the organism in Eukaryota, Metazoa, Chordata, Actinopteri, Pomacentridae.
GUCUUGGAGAGAGGGAGGUGAUAAGAGGAGCAGGAGGACGCUGUGGAUGAAGCUGAGGAAACUGUUCUUUUCAGUUUCUCCUUUUCCGAGAACAGACUCUGGGUACCAGGAGCAGGCAGAGGCACAUCUGGGACCUCGGGAAAUGGUGCAUUUCACAUUACUGGAAGCUGCAGCUGAUGGUGUGUUUGGAGUAAACAGAAGAGGAACUGGGCAGUUACAAUGAGCAGUGAAAGUCACAUCAGCUGCACAGAAGAGGAGGAGCUCCUUUGACAAAAAGCCAGACUCCUUACCUGCCACGGCGUGAGGAUCCAUACUGAACUCACUGUGGUCGACCGUCCCCUGAUCCAGACAACUUUUCAGCCUCUUCACCACCGAGGCUGCUGCAGCCAGACGAAACAGACCCUGAGGGAACAAAUUUUUUUUUUUUUUUUAAAAAGGAAGGAAAAGUGAUCAGUUGGAAGAGAUUUUGUUUGUUUGAAGUCCAGACUCAGACCAGGUGUAGUGAGUUUUAAUCAAGGUCAGAUGCAAACAAAGCUAAGACUGCAGAGAGCAGUGAGCAUAAAUAACCCCAAGCAGUCCACUAACUAUACCGUCCACUAAUUAUACAACAAAUGCCACAAAAAUAUUUAAGAGUGUACAUAUUUCUUAAACUCAAUCUUUUAUUAUGUCUUUGUACUUUGCAAGCGCCUACAGAAGGCAAACUCUGCAGGCAUGACCUGAGGAAUGACAAGGCCAGUCAGUUCACUAUGUUGAUCCAGACUAAAAUAACUAACAGGCCUGGACUUUGUGUUUAAUAAAGCGAACACAUGCUACACGAAGAUGGUGAACAUGAUGCUUCACAUCAGUAUCAGUAGUGGUGCAGUACAGUGGUGGAAAAAAGUUUUCGGACACUCUUAAAAUUUUACACAAUCUCAAAUAUUAUCAUGAGCUAUUUGUGGAAAAGUCUUUUUUGUGUUUCAAAAGGCGUGGCUCCAUUAGACAGACACAAACAAAUACAAAUUAUAUUUUUUUGUUUAUUGUUUACAAGAAAAAACAACAAAACUAAAUUCUUGAAAGUUUCAAAUAUGGCACUUCUCAACAUUGUCG